GACGGAGGAUGCAAGUGUUAUCCGGAAUCACUGGGCGUAAAGCGUCUGUAGGUGGUUUAAAAAGUCCACUGUUAAAAAUUGAAGCUUAACUACAAAGAUGCCGUGGAAACUUUUAAACUUGAGGAUGAUAGGGGUAGAGGGAAUUUCCAGUGGAGCGGUGAAAUGCGUAGAUAUUGGAAAGACCACCAAUGGCGAAGGCACUCUACUGGGCCAUUACUGACACUGAGAGACGAAAGCUAGGGGAGCGAAUGGG
RNAcentral lists this ribosomal RNA (253 nucleotides) under uncultured bacterium. RNAcentral describes it as "partial 16S ribosomal RNA". It matches the Rfam family "Bacterial small subunit ribosomal RNA", at positions 524 to 776 of the family's 1533-position model. The record is from RNAcentral.